UUUUUUUUUUUUUUUUUAUUUCUGCAGACGAACGCUGGCGGCGUGCCUAAUACAUGCAAGUCGAACGCUUCUUUUUCCACCGGAGCUUGCUCCACCGGAAAAAGAGGAGUGGCGAACGGGUGAGUAACACGUGGGUAACCUGCCCAUCAGAAGGGGAUAACACUUGGAAACAGGUGCUAAUACCGUAUAACAAUCAAAACCGCAUGGUUUUGAUUUGAAAGGCGCUUUCGGGUGUCGCUGAUGGAUGGACCCGCGGUGCAUUAGCUAGUUGGUGAGGUAACGGCUCACCAAGGCCACGAUGCAUAGCCGACCUGAGAGGGUGAUCGGCCACAUUGGGACUGAGACACGGCCCAAACUCCUACGGGAGGCAGCAGUAGGGAAUCUUCGGCAAUGGACGAAAGUCUGACCGAGCAACGCCGCGUGAGUGAAGAAGGUUUUCGGAUCGUAAAACUCUGUUGUUAGAGAAGAACAAGGAUGAGAGUAACUGUUCAUCCCUUGACGGUAUCUAACCAGAAAGCCACGGCUAACUACGUGCCAGCAGCCGCGGUAAUACGUAGGUGGCAAGCGUUGUCCGGAUUUAUUGGGCGUAAAGCGAGCGCAGGCGGUUUCUUAAGUCUGAUGUGAAAGCCCCCGGCUCAACCGGGGAGGGUCAUUGGAAACUGGGAGACUUGAGUGCAGAAGAGGAGAGUGGAAUUCCAUGUGUAGCGGUGAAAUGCGUAGAUAUAUGGAGGAACACCAGUGGCGAAGGCGGCUCUCUGGUCUGUAACUGACGCUGAGGCUCGAAAGCGUGGGGAGCAAACAGGAUUAGAUACCCUGGUAGUCCACGCCGUAAACGAUGAGUGCUAAGUGUUGGAGGGUUUCCGCCCUUCAGUGCUGCAGCUAACGCAUUAACCACUCCGCAUGG
RNAcentral lists this ribosomal RNA (904 nucleotides) under Enterococcus sp. RNAcentral describes it as "bacterial SSU rRNA". It matches the Rfam family "Bacterial small subunit ribosomal RNA", at positions 1 to 876 of the family's 1533-position model. The record is from RNAcentral. Lineage: Bacteria; Bacillati; Bacillota; Bacilli; Lactobacillales; Enterococcaceae.